This 497-nucleotide ribosomal RNA is filed under the name uncultured bacterium. Its description in RNAcentral is "partial 16S ribosomal RNA". It matches the Rfam family "Bacterial small subunit ribosomal RNA", at positions 28 to 507 of the family's 1533-position model. The record is from RNAcentral.
GAUGAACGCUGGCGGCGUGCCUAAUACAUGCAAGUCGAGCGAACAGAUGAGGAGCUUGCUCCUCUGACGUUAGCGGCGGACGGGUGAGUAACACGUGGAUAACCUACCUAUAAGACUGGGAUAACUUCGGGAAACCGGAGCUAAUACCGGAUAAUAUAUUGAACCGCAUGGUUCAAUAGUGAAAGACGGUUUUGCUGUCACUUAUAGAUGGAUCCGCGCCGCAUUAGCUAGUUGGUAAGGUAACGGCUUACCAAGGCGACGAUGCGUAGCCGACCUGAGAGGGUGAUCGGCCACACUGGAACUGAGACACGGUCCAGACUCCUACGGGAGGCAGCAGUAGGGAAUCUUCCGCAAUGGGCGAAAGCCUGACGGAGCAACGCCGCGUGAGUGAUGAUGGUCUUCGGAUCGUAAAACUCUGUUAUUAGGGAAGAACAAAUGUGUAAGUAACUAUGCACGUCUUGACGGUACCUAAUCAGAAAGCCACGGCUAACUACGUG